This 495-nucleotide ribosomal RNA is filed under the name uncultured bacterium. RNAcentral describes it as "partial 16S ribosomal RNA". It matches the Rfam family "Bacterial small subunit ribosomal RNA", at positions 29 to 507 of the family's 1533-position model. The record is from RNAcentral.
AUGAACGCUGGCGGCGUGCCUAAUACAUGCAAGUCGAGCGAACAGAUGAGGAGCUUGCUCCUCUGACGUUAGCGGCGGACGGGUGAGUAACACGUGAUAACCUACCUAUAAGACUGGGAUAACUUCGGGAAACCGGAGCUAAUACCGGAUAAUAUAUUGAACCGCAUGGUUCAAUAGUGAAAGACGGUUUUGCUGUCACUUAUAGAUGGAUCCGCACCGCAUUAGCUAGUUGGUAAGGUAACGGCUUACCAAGGCAACGAUGCGUAGCCGACCUGAGAGGGUGAUCGGCCACACUGGAACUGAGACACGGUCCAGACUCCUACGGGAGGCAGCAGUAGGGAAUCUUCCGCAAUGGGCGAAAGCCUGACGGAGCAACGCCGCGUGAGUGAUGAAGGUCUUCGGAUCGUAAAACUCUGUUAUUAGGGAAGAACAAAUGUGUAAGUAACUAUGCACGUCUUGACGGUACCUAAUCAGAAAGCCACGGCUAACUACGUG